CGGCGGACGGGUGAGUAACGCGUGGGUAACCUACCUAUAAGACUGGGACAACUUCGGGAAACCGGAGCUAAUACCGGAUAAGAUAUCGAACCGCAUGGUUCGAUAGUGAAAGAUGGUUUUGCUAUCACUUAUAGAUGGACCCGCGCCGUAUUAGCUAGUUGGUGAGGUAACGGCUCACCAAGGCAACGAUACGUAGCCGACCUGAGAGGGUGAUCGGCCACACUGGAACUGAGACACGGUCCAGACUCCUACGGGAGGCAGCAGCG
Molecule: ribosomal RNA, 266 nt
Filed under: uncultured Staphylococcus sp.
Lineage: Bacteria; Bacillati; Bacillota; Bacilli; Caryophanales; Staphylococcaceae
Description: partial 16S ribosomal RNA
Rfam family: Bacterial small subunit ribosomal RNA
Source: RNAcentral